Non-coding RNA from Podarcis lilfordi (Lilford's wall lizard), 105 nucleotides. The record is from the annotation of a GenBank genome assembly. NCBI's taxonomy places the organism in Eukaryota, Metazoa, Chordata, Lepidosauria, Squamata, Lacertidae.
GGUGGGGGGGGGGACAAAGACUUUUGCCCCCCGCCAGCCUUCAGAAGAGGUCCAGGACCUCUUCUGAAGGCUGGCGGGGGCAAAGUCUUUGUCCCCCUGCCUGCC